AUGAGCAGCCCCCGCCGCCGCCACUGCCGCCGCUCGCCGGCGGCGUCCCCGCUGGAGGACGACGACCUGCUCUCCGAGAUCCUGCUCCGCCUCCCCCCGCAGCCCUCCGCCCUCCCGCGCGCAUCGGCCGUCUGCAGGCGCUGGCGCGGCCUCGUCUCCGACCCCCGAUUCCGGCGCCGCUUCCGCCUCCGCCACCGCCGCAACCCUCCUCUCCUCGGCUUCUUCAACCGAUUCGAUCGCCUCUCCUUCCAGCCCACUCUGGAUGCCCCCGACCGUGUCCCUCUCGGGCCCUUCCCCUUUCAGCGCGAUGACGGCGACUACUUCGUCUCCCUCGGAUGCCGCCAUGGCCUCCUACUCGUUUUCCUUCCGGGGAUUCUCGAGGUCCUUGUGUGGGACCCCGUCGCCGGCGACCGGCACCGGGUGGCCAUUCCCCCGGUGGUCGCGGAACGUGCGGCGGAGAUUGGGGUCGGCGGGGCGGUGUAUCGCCCUCCGGGAGACGUCCAACAUUUCCAGGUGGUCUUGGCGGUGACAGACGGCCACGGCGCACAACCUAGACGAGCGCUCGCCUGCGUUUACUCGUCAAAGACCGGCGUAUGGGGAAGUCUCAUCUCGACACCGCUCCCAUACCAGGCUCAUGGAUCUCAGUUUUCCGCCAUCGUUUGUGCCGAGGACGCUGCGCUGGCUGGAGAUUCCCUUUACUGGCCGCUUGCCGGGAAAUUGAAUGGAAUUCUCGAGUUUGAUCUGGAGAAGCAGAGGCUAGCUGUGAUACGGGUGCCGGUGCAUAUGUGGGGCGAGCGGGAGCGGAAUGGCUUCAAGCUUGUGCGGGCAGAGGGUGGUGUGCUAGGUUUCCUCUUCAUAUCACACUCAGACUGCUGUGCCCCACAGUUAUGGAAGAGGAUAACUGGUUGUGAUGGUGUUGCUUCAUGGGUGCUUGCAAGAACUAUUCAACUGGACAAGCUACUUUCCCUGAAACCAGAGGAGAAAGGGGGCAUAGAGAUGGUAGGGUUUGCUCAAGACAAUAAUGUGUUGUUGUUGCGAACGGUUAUCGGCCUCUUCAUGAUCCAUCUUGAGUCACUGAAGUUCAAGAGGCUUUCCAACACUACGACCGUUUCUCGCUAUUUUCCAUUCGAAAGUGUCUACACUGCAGUAACAGGCAUUGGUGGUAGACAUGAUGCAUCUGAUGUUAUGCACAAUAAAUAA
This 1200-nucleotide ribosomal RNA is filed under the name Triticum aestivum (bread wheat). Its description in RNAcentral is "partial small subunit ribosomal RNA". Lineage: Eukaryota; Viridiplantae; Streptophyta; Magnoliopsida; Poales; Poaceae. The record is from RNAcentral.